RNAcentral lists this ribosomal RNA (1446 nucleotides) under uncultured bacterium. RNAcentral describes it as "16S ribosomal RNA". It matches the Rfam family "Bacterial small subunit ribosomal RNA". The record is from RNAcentral.
GUUUGAUCAUGGCUCAGGAUGAACGCUGGCGGCGUGCUUAACACAUGCAAGUCGAACGAACCUUCGGGUUAGUGGCGGACGGGUGAGUAACGCGUGAGAAUCUGCCCUCAGGAGGGGGAUAACGGUUGGAAACGACCGCUAAUACCCCAUAUGCCUAUUGGUGAAAUGAAUUUCGCCUGAGGAUGAGCUCGCGUCUGAUUAGCUAGUUGGUGAGGUAAUGGCUCACCAAGGCUUCGAUCAGUAGCUGGUCUGAGAGGAUGAUCAGCCACACUGGGACUGAGACACGGCCCAGACUCCUACGGGAGGCAGCAGUGGGGAAUUUUCCGCAAUGGGCGAAAGCCUGACGGAGCAACGCCGCGUGAGGGACGAAGGCCUCUGGGCUGUAAACCUCUUUUCUCAAGGAAGAAGAUAUGACGGUACUUGAGGAAUAAGCCACGGCUAAUUCCGUGCCAGCAGCCGCGGUAAUACGGGAGUGGCAAGCGUUAUCCGGAAUUAUUGGGCGUAAAGCGUCCGCAGGCGGCUUUUCAAGUCUGCUGUUAAAGCGUGGAGCUUAACUCCAUCAUGGCAGUGGAAACUGAAAGGCUUGAGUAUGGUAGGGGCAGAGGGAAUUCCCGGUGUAGCGGUGAAAUGCGUAGAUAUCGGGAAGAACACCAGUGGCGAAGGCGCUCUGCUGGGCCAUUACUGACGCUCAUGGACGAAAGCCAGGGGAGCGAAAGGGAUUAGAUACCCCUGUAGUCCUGGCCGUAAACGAUGAACACUAGGUGUCGGGGGAAUCGACCCCUUCGGUGUCGUAGCUAACGCGUUAAGUGUUCCGCCUGGGGAGUACGCACGCAAGUGUGAAACUCAAAGGAAUUGACAGGGGCCCGCACAAGCGGUGGAGUAUGUGGUUUAAUUCGAUGCAACGCGAAGAACCUUACCAGGGUUUGACAUCCUGCGAACCUCUUAGAAAUUUGAGGGUGCCUUCGGGAAUGCAGUGACAGGUGGUGCAUGGCUGUCGUCAGCUCGUGUCGUGAGAUGUUGGGUUAAGUCCCGCAACGAGCGCAACCCACGUUUUUAGUUGCCAGCAUUUAGUUGGGCACUCUAGAAAGACCGCCGGUGAUAAACCGGAGGAAGGUGUGGAUGACGUCAAGUCAUCAUGCCCCUUACACCCUGGGCUACACACGUACUACAAUGCUACGGACAAAGGGCAGCAAACUCGCGAGAGCUAGCAAAUCCCAUAAACCGUGGCUCAGUUCAGAUCGUAGGCUGCAACUCGCCUACGUGAAGUAGGAAUCGCUAGUAAUCGCAGGUCAGCAUACUGCGGUGAAUACGUUCCCGGGCCUUGUACACACCGCCCGUCACACCAUGGAAGUUGGCCAUGCCCGAAGUCGUUACUCCAACCCUUGUGGAGGAGGACGCCGAAGGUGGGGCUAAUGACUGGGGUGAAGUCAUAACAAGGUAGCCGUA